This 253-nucleotide ribosomal RNA is filed under the name uncultured bacterium. Its description in RNAcentral is "partial 16S ribosomal RNA". It matches the Rfam family "Bacterial small subunit ribosomal RNA", at positions 524 to 776 of the family's 1533-position model. The record is from RNAcentral.
UACAGAGGUCUCAACCGUUGUUCGGAUUCAUUGGGCGUAAAGGGUGCGUAGGCGGCGGGGCAAGUCAGGUGUGAAAUCUCGGGGCUCAACCCCGAAACUGCACUUGAUACUGCCUUGCUCGAGUACUGGAGAGGAGACUGGAAUUUACGGUGUAGCAGUGAAAUGCGUAGAUAUCGUAAGGAAGACCAGUGGCGAAGGCGAGUCUCUGGACAGUUCCUGACGCUGAGGCGCGAAGGCCAGGGGAGCAAACGGG